Molecule: ribosomal RNA, 253 nt
Filed under: uncultured bacterium
Lineage: Bacteria
Description: partial 16S ribosomal RNA
Rfam family: Bacterial small subunit ribosomal RNA
Source: RNAcentral
UACAGAGGGGGCAAGCGUUGUUCGGAAUCACUGGGCGUAAAGGGUGCGUAGGCGGGUCUUUAAGUCAGGGGUGAAAUCCUGGAGCUCAACUCCAGAACUGCCUUUGAUACUGAAGAUCUUGAGUCCGGGAGAGGUGAGUGGAACUGCGAGUGUAGAGGUGAAAUUCGUAGAUAUUCGCAAGAACACCAGUGGCGAAGGCGGCUCACUGGCCCGGUACUGACGCUGAGGCACGAAAGCGUGGGGAGCAAACAGG